Molecule: ribosomal RNA, 1504 nt
Filed under: metagenome
Description: bacterial SSU rRNA
Rfam family: Bacterial small subunit ribosomal RNA
Source: RNAcentral
AGAGUUUGAUCCUGGCUCAGAACGAACGCUGGCGGCGUGGAUUAGGCAUGCAAGUCGAACGAGAUCUUGGGCUGUAGCAAUACAGUCUAAGUGAAAGUGGCGAAAGGGUGAGUAACACGUGGGUAAUCUGCCCUAGGGUGCGGGACAACCUUCCGAAAGGGAGGCUAAUACCGCGUAGGACCACGGUCUCUACGGAGACCGAGGUGAAACGAUGGCCUCUAUUUAUAAGCUAUCGCCUUUGGAUGAGCCCGCGCUUUAUCAGCUUGUUGGUGAGGUAAUGGCUCACCAAGGCUAAGACGAAUAGCUGGUCUGAGAGGACGAUCAGCCACAUCGGGACUGAGACACUGCCCGGACUUCUACGGAAGGCUGCAGUCGAGAAUCUUUCGCAAUGGGGGAAACCCUGACGAAGCGACGCCGCGUGCAGGACGAAGGCUUUCGGGUUGUAAACUGCUGUCGGCCAUGACGAAUUGUGUAUCGGUGAACAAUCGAUACACUUGACGGUAGUGGCAGAGGAAGCAACGGCUAACUCUGUGCCAGCAGCCGCGGUAAUACAGAGGUUGCAAGCGUUGUUCGGAUUUAUUGGGUGUAAAGGGUGUGUAGGCGGUUGGAUAAGUCGGAUGUGAAAUCCUGGAGCUUAACUCCAGAACUGCAUUUGAUACUGUCCAGCUAGAGUACGUUAGAGGAAAGGGGAAUUCCCGGUGUAAGGGUGAAAUCUUCAGAUAUCGGGAGGAACACCAGUGGCGAAGGCGCCUUUCUGGGACGAUACUGACGCUGAAACACGAAAGCUAGGGGAGCGAACAGGAUUAGAUACCCUGGUAGUCCUAGCCGUAAACGAUGGGUACUAGGCGUUGGGGAGCGCAAGCUUCUCAGUGCCGACGCAAACGCAUUAAGUACCCCACCUGGGGAGUACGGUCGCAAGAUUGAAACUCAAAGGAAUUGACGGGGACCCGCACAAAUGGUGGAGCAUGUGGUUUAAUACGACGAUACGCGUGAAACCUCACCCAGGCUUGACAUGUACCGGAAGAAUUAUAGAAAUAUAGUUCGUCCUUUACGGGACUGGUACACAGGUGUUGCAUGGCUGUCGUCAGCUUGUGUCGUGAGAUGUUGGGUUAAGUCCCGCAACGAGCGCAACCCCUAUUCUUAGUUACCAUCGGUUCGGCCGGGGACUCUAAGAAGACUGCCACGGAUAACGUGGAGGAAGGUGGGGAUGACGUCAAGUCAGUACGGCCCUUACGCCUGGGGCUACACACGUGCUACAAUGGCUGGUACAAAGGGCCGCAAUACCGCAAGGUGGAGCUAAUCCCAAAAAACCAGCCCCAGUUCAGAUUGAAGGCUGCAAUUCGCCUUCAUGAAGCCGGAAUCAUUAGUAACCCCGCAUAAGUCACGGCGGGGUGAAUACGUUCCCGGGUCUUGUACACACCGCCCGUCAAGUCAUCCGAGUGAAAUGCACCCGAAGACGUGAUCUUAACCGCAAGGAGGGAUGGGUCGAAGGUGUGUUCCAUGG